RNAcentral lists this ribosomal RNA (254 nucleotides) under uncultured bacterium. RNAcentral describes it as "partial 16S ribosomal RNA". It matches the Rfam family "Bacterial small subunit ribosomal RNA", at positions 524 to 776 of the family's 1533-position model. The record is from RNAcentral.
CACGUAGGGGGCAAGCGUUGUCCGGAUUUAUUGGGCGUAAAGAGCUCGUAGGCGGUUCGCUAAGUCGGGUGUGAAACCUCCAGGCUCAACCUGGAGACGCCACCUGAUACUGGUGUGACUCGAGUCCGGUAGGGGAGCGUGGAAUUCCUGGUGUAGCGGUGAAAUGCGCAGAUAUCAGGAGGAACACCAGCGGCGAAGGCGGCGCUCUGGGCCGGAACUGACGCUGAGGUGCGAGAGCGUGGGGAGCGAACCGG